Molecule: long non-coding RNA, 1155 nt
Filed under: Fukomys damarensis (Damara mole-rat)
Lineage: Eukaryota; Metazoa; Chordata; Mammalia; Rodentia; Bathyergidae
Description: lncRNA (ENSFDAG00000028507.1)
Source: RNAcentral
GGGCCUUUCUGCAAUGCUUGGGUUGAGGAUCUUUUUCUUGCCAGUUAUUUAUUUAGCAGCUGAGUAACAGUGGCCAGGGCAGGCCCACCCCAUCGCCUGUGUCCAAACUUGCUUCCCGGAUUCCUGGAAAACGGACUUCCCUCCUGCAACUGGACAGGCCAUAGAGCUCCCACAUUAAAGCGGGAGGGAGAGGCAAGACGGGGAGGCUGAGAAAGACAGUCUGGAAAGAGGGGGAAAAAAACACGAAAAAUAAUGUGUUUGAGGAACACGAUUCAAACCAGUUUGUAAUUCUUUCAGGGGAAAAAAGAGGGAGGAGGAGAAAGGAGAAAAGAAAAAGUAGGAGGAGAAAGAGGAAUCGGGGAGCGACGACAUGAAGGGGUUUCCUUAAUAUUGUGGACGGAUUCAGAAAUGAAUGAAGAGAUAGUCCAUUGAAAAGGGUUGAAUGCCAUGACAACUAGCAACAACCUUAGAUUUAUUCCAAACAGUUAGGACACAUUGAAAGAGAGCGUCAAUCAUGUAUUAUUUCGCCACUGAAAUAAAUGCAAAAACCGAGGCGGGACAAAGGCUUCCAACGGGAGCGGGACAUUUGUCUACAUUUCGCUCAUUGUCCGCAGCUUAGCAAUCGGUUUGUAUUUGUGUUUGCCCGGGUCCGACCACCCAGGACGCGCCGACGAGGGGCUCGCUCCACCCUGGGCCAUUGUCACCCACAUCACAUACUGGGGGCGAGGCAGCUAGGGCAGCAGAAAGCCGCCGAGUGGUUCGGAGAGAGGCGCCCUCACUAGGCGCUGGCAACCCAGGGUGGUGGGGGCGCCGCGGUGGCCCCCGCAGCUGCGCGCAAGAAGGACCCAGGCCGCGGGCUCCACUCGGUCUGCGCCAGGCGUCCCGGGCUGGGGGAGAUAGGGGCACAGAGACCGGAACCCCAGAAGGCGACCUUCUCUGCCUUCCUCGCCCCCAGGCCGACCUCCUUCCCGGCGCUCUUGGGGCGAGCAAGCAUCAGGUAGCAAGCCUCCCCCUCCUCAAUUUUAAACUGGACGGAGGAGCGGUUCUUGAGUGGAGCCCAGCCUUAUAUGGACUGAUCGCUCGGGCAAUGGCCCAUUUUUUCCUCGCCACCAGCCGACACAGCGCGCCGAGCGGCCGCCGCCAGAGCCCGCGCUG